This 423-nucleotide long non-coding RNA is filed under the name Vulpes vulpes (red fox). Its description in RNAcentral is "lncRNA (ENSVVUG00000026603.1)". The record is from RNAcentral. Lineage: Eukaryota; Metazoa; Chordata; Mammalia; Carnivora; Canidae.
AGGGAAAAGGAUCCAUGGUGGCUGCAUGAAUCAUUUUCUAAUGAUGGACGCCUAGAACAUUCUUUGGAUGGCAGACUACACCCACAAGGUCAAGCAAACCUCCUGAAGGAAGAACCCAGAGACCAGAGCUCUUGGUCAACCAGAGGGUUCAACUAUACAGCACACCCUGUAGCAUACCCCUUUAUGUGUCAAGCACUGGGCCAGACACCAGGCUGCACAGAAUAAUAAGGCCCUCUUCCUGCUCAGUAUACAAAUGUGACAUCUGGAUGUGCAACAGCUGUCUUUUAACUCUGAGGGUGAAAGCCUCAAGCUACAGUGGAGGGAUGGACAGACAGAAGGGUCCUGGAUCCUUGAUGGCAACAUGGAGACCCCACUGAGCCACCGUACAAGCCCCAGGUGGCCUCCUUAUGAGUUAUCAAUUGC